Molecule: small RNA, 123 nt
Filed under: Rhizobium metallidurans
Lineage: Bacteria; Pseudomonadati; Pseudomonadota; Alphaproteobacteria; Hyphomicrobiales; Rhizobiaceae
Description: Alphaproteobacterial ar14
Rfam family: Alphaproteobacterial ar14
About the family: Smr14C2 was renamed NfeR1 (Nodule Formation Efficiency RNA) highly expressed in salt stress and during the symbiotic interaction on legume roots.
Source: Rfam by way of RNAcentral
GUGGUUCAGGCGCCCCACUCCUCCUCCCAGGGUCGCCUGAGGAACAACAGCACUCCUCCUCCCAGCUGUUGUUCGGUUCUUUUCGAAAGCCUGCCGCACCUCCUCCCGCGGCAGGCUUUUUCG